This 495-nucleotide ribosomal RNA is filed under the name uncultured bacterium. RNAcentral's name for it is "partial 16S ribosomal RNA". It matches the Rfam family "Bacterial small subunit ribosomal RNA", at positions 28 to 507 of the family's 1533-position model. The record is from RNAcentral.
GACGAACGCUGGCGGCGUGCCUAAUACAUGCAAGUAGAACGCUGAAGGAGGAGCUUGCUUCUCUGGAUGAGUUGCGAACGGGUGAGUAACGCGUAGGUAACCUGCCUGGUAGCGGGGGAUAACUAUUGGAAACGAUAGCUAAUACCGCAUAAGAGUAGAUGUUGCAUGACAUUUGCUUAAAAGUUGCAAUUGCAUCACUACCAUAUGGACCUGCGUUGUAUUAGCUAGUUGGUGGGGUAACGGCUCACCAAGGCGACGAUACAUAGCCGACCUGAGAGGGGGAUCGGCCACACUGGGACGGAGACACGGCCCAGACUCCUACGGGAGGCAGCAGUAGGGAAUCUUCGGCAAUGGACGGAAGUCUGACCGAGCAACGCCGCGUGAGUGAAGAAGGGUUUCGGAUCGUAAAGCUCUGUUGUAAGAGAAGAACGAGUGUGAGAGUGGAAAGUUCACACUGUGACGGUAUCUUACCAGAAAGGGACGGCUAACUACGUG